Lutra lutra (Eurasian river otter) is the source of this 205-nucleotide long non-coding RNA. RefSeq lists it as uncharacterized. The record is from RefSeq and is a predicted model, not a curated record. Lineage: Eukaryota; Metazoa; Chordata; Mammalia; Carnivora; Mustelidae. The transcript has 3 exons.
GGGCCGUGUGCACCUCCCCUGUGCCUCACCGGGGGGAGGGGAGCUGCCUCCAGGGAGGGGAACUGCACGUCUGCAGUGGGAAAAGCUGUCAUUAGAUGUGUUUCUGAACGGGUUUUUUCCAGAAAAUUGUGACUGGCUUGCAAACCCUCUGCAAAAGCAAUCAUUGCUGAGGAGCCGCACGUCGGACCGUGGAGGAGUGUGCAGG